This 360-nucleotide RNase P RNA is filed under the name Paracoccaceae bacterium. Its description in RNAcentral is "Rhodobacteraceae bacterium RNase P RNA component class A". It matches the Rfam family "Bacterial RNase P class A". Rfam says of the family: Ribonuclease P (RNase P) is a ubiquitous endoribonuclease, found in archaea, bacteria and eukarya as well as chloroplasts and mitochondria. The record is from RNAcentral. Lineage: Bacteria; Pseudomonadati; Pseudomonadota; Alphaproteobacteria; Rhodobacterales; Paracoccaceae.
GUGGAAAGCUGAAUGAUCGCAUCGUAAAGAUGAGGAAAGUCCGGACUCCAAGGAGAAGUGGUGCCGGGUAAUGUCCGGCCAGGGUAACCUGAGGGAAAGCGCAACAGAAAGGAUACCGCUCAAUUUGAGUAAGGGUGAAAUGGUAAGGUAAGAGCUUACCGCCUGCUUGGCAACAAGGAGGGCACUGCAAGCCCCACCAGGAGAAAGACCAAAUAGGAACCGAUAUUGAAUCUGAGUGUUUAAUAUCUCCUAAAUUACGGUUCGGGUAGGUCGUUUGAUCCAGUUGGCAACUACUGGGCUAGAUGAAUGAUCAUUGAGCUUAAAUGCUUACAAAAUCCGGCUUACAAGCUUUCCACAGUU